Molecule: ribosomal RNA, 387 nt
Filed under: Triticum aestivum (bread wheat)
Lineage: Eukaryota; Viridiplantae; Streptophyta; Magnoliopsida; Poales; Poaceae
Description: partial small subunit ribosomal RNA
Source: RNAcentral
AUGAGGCUGGCUGCUGUCAUUGACACGAUCAUCUCCCCCGCGCAAUCCGCAUUCCAGAGGGCCAAAUGCAUCCACGACAGCUUUCUCUUCUUCCAGAAUAGUGUUUGUGCUCUCCAUCGCCGCAAAACACCCACCCUCCUGCUGAAAUUAGAUAUAGCAAAGGCAUUUGACAGUGUUUCAUGGGAAUAUAUCUUAGAGCUGCUAGAAAUGGGUUUUCCGGCACGUUGGAGGGACUGGGUUGCCCUGCUCCUCUCAACCUCGUCAUCAGUUUGUCUGCUCAAUGGCGUUCUAGGCUGCCCCAUUGAGCAUCGACGCGGCCUGCGGCAGGGCGACCCGCUCUCCCCUCUCCUGUUCAUCCUCUGCAUCGACCCCCGCAUAGACUUCUAG